Long non-coding RNA from Cervus elaphus (red deer), 615 nucleotides. RefSeq lists it as uncharacterized. NCBI's taxonomy places the organism in Eukaryota, Metazoa, Chordata, Mammalia, Artiodactyla, Cervidae. The record is from RefSeq and is a predicted model, not a curated record. The transcript is spliced from 3 exons.
UGUCUUAAUUUCUCCCCUUCCUUUCUCUGUUUCCUCUUUCUAAUCCCCAUCCUUCCUCUCCCUGAAAUUCAUGCUUACUUUACAGCUCUCAUCUGUAAAGCAGCAGAAAAUACUGGGAUGAAAAUACAUUCUUCAGAGAGCAAAUGCUGACUAUUCAUUCAGUCAAAAUCUUCUGAGAGCCCACCAUCCACCAAGCACUAUCCUGAGCACUGAGGAAAUGCCACCAAGAGUUUUACUUGUCCAAAGGCAAAUAAAGUACCUUAAGGCUGCUUCAUUUAGACUCCACUGGGUCUGGACUACAACUAUGACUUCACGUAGAUGAAAACCGGAGGCCUGCUGAAUCAACUGUCACUUGGACUGCUAAAUAAGAUUCAUUAUCUGAUGAAGUUUACCAGAGAAGAGUUAAGGAAAUGAAGUCCAGAAGGGUGUUUCGGUUAACAAUAAUGUCAAUUUCCUGAGAAAAUUGCUUGACCCCAGACAAGGCAUUUACUUUUUCAAGAGAAUUGUUUUGUCUUGGUCUUUUUAAAUUUUUUUAACAACAGAGUGCUAUUGUUAGGAGGCAUUCUUGAGAUGACUUCCUUUCUGUACACAUAUAUGAACAAGUGAAACCGAUAU